Eurytemora carolleeae is the source of this 318-nucleotide long non-coding RNA. RefSeq lists it as uncharacterized. The record is from RefSeq and is a predicted model, not a curated record. Lineage: Eukaryota; Metazoa; Arthropoda; Copepoda; Calanoida; Temoridae. The transcript has 3 exons.
AAUGGCAGAGAUUAUUAAAGAAGAUAAAAGAAGAGAUAAUUUCCUUCAAGGAAGAAAUUCUUCCCCUCUCUACUGUAGAAGAUUCAUGUACUUUAAUCUACAUACAGAUGAUAUAAAGAUGGAAAAGACAGGAAUUAAAGAUGUAUUAAAUACUGGAAUACAGGAUACUGUAGAGAAUAAACGUGUUUUUGAUCCUGAUUGAGCUAAUCAUUAGACAUGAAAACGAGAAUAAAGGAGAGGUCUGUGUGAAGGGUAUUCUGCUGUAGGAAGAGGGAGUAGAGGCUUGUGGCGAAGAACUCUCUUCUGAUCCCGUAGAGG